RNAcentral lists this ribosomal RNA (600 nucleotides) under uncultured marine bacterium. Its description in RNAcentral is "bacterial SSU rRNA". It matches the Rfam family "Bacterial small subunit ribosomal RNA", at positions 8 to 599 of the family's 1533-position model. The record is from RNAcentral.
AGAGUUUGAUCCUGGCUCAGAUUGAACGCUGGCGGCAGGCCUAACACAUGCAAGUCGAGCGGCAGCACGGGGAGCUUGCUCCCUGGUGGCGAGCGGCGGACGGGUGAGUAAUGCAUAGGAAUCUGCCCGGUAGUGGGGGAUAACGUGGGGAAACCCACGCUAAUACCGCAUACGUCCUACGGGAGAAAGCGGAGGAUCUUCGGACUUCGCGCUAUCGGAUGAGCCUAUGUCGGAUUAGCUAGUUGGUAAGGUAACGGCUUACCAAGGCGACGAUCCGUAGCUGGUCUGAGAGGAUGAUCAGCCACACUGGGACUGAGACACGGCCCAGACUCCUACGGGAGGCAGCAGUGGGGAAUAUUGGACAAUGGGCGAAAGCCUGAUCCAGCCAUGCCGCGUGUGUGAAGAAGGCUUUCGGGUUGUAAAGCACUUUCAGCGAGGAAGAAAGCCUUUGGGUUAAUACCCCAGAGGAAGGACAUCACUCGCAGAAGAAGCACCGGCUAACUCCGUGCCAGCAGCCGCGGUAAUACGGAGGGUGCGAGCGUUAAUCGGAAUUACUGGGCGUAAAGCGCGCGUAGGUGGCUUGGCACGCCGGUUGUGAAA